GCCUCUAUAUCAUAGUGGUAGUGCGUUUGUUUCGUAAGUAAAAGGUCGUGAGUUCAAUCCUCACUAGGGGCU
This 72-nucleotide transfer RNA is filed under the name Ipomoea nil (Japanese morning glory). It matches the Rfam family "tRNA". Rfam says of the family: Transfer RNA (tRNA) molecules are approximately 80 nucleotides in length. Their secondary structure includes four short double-helical elements and three loops (D, anti-codon, and T loops). Lineage: Eukaryota; Viridiplantae; Streptophyta; Magnoliopsida; Solanales; Convolvulaceae. The record is from Rfam by way of RNAcentral.